AUUGAACGCUGGCGGCAUGCUUUACACAUGCAAGUCGAACGGCAGCGCGGGCUUCGGCCUGGCGGCGAGUGGCGAACGGGUGAGUAAUGCAUCGGAACGUGCCCAGUAGUGGGGGAUAGCCCGGCGAAAGCCGGAUUAAUACCGCAUACGACCUGAGGGUGAAAGCGGGGGACCGAAAGGCCUCGCGCUAUUGGAGCGGCCGAUGUCGGAUUAGCUAGUUGGUGGGGUAAAGGCUUACCAAGGCGACGAUCCGUAGCUGGUCUGAGAGGACGACCAGCCACACUGGGACUGAGACACGGCCCAGACUCCUACGGGAGGCAGCAGUGGGGAAUUUUGGACAAUGGGGGCAACCCUGAUCCAGCCAUGCCGCGUGCGGGAAGAAGGCCUUCGGGUUGUAAACCGCUUUUGUUCGGGAAGAAAUCCUCUGGGCUAAUACCCCGGGGGGAUGACGGUACCGGAAGAAUAAGCACCGGCUAACUCCGUG
RNAcentral lists this ribosomal RNA (484 nucleotides) under uncultured bacterium. Its description in RNAcentral is "partial 16S ribosomal RNA". It matches the Rfam family "Bacterial small subunit ribosomal RNA", at positions 28 to 507 of the family's 1533-position model. The record is from RNAcentral.